This 492-nucleotide ribosomal RNA is filed under the name uncultured bacterium. Its description in RNAcentral is "partial 16S ribosomal RNA". It matches the Rfam family "Bacterial small subunit ribosomal RNA", at positions 29 to 507 of the family's 1533-position model. The record is from RNAcentral.
AGUGAACGCUGGCGGUAGGCCUAACACAUGCAAGUCGAACGGCAGCACAGUAAGAGCUUGCUCUUACGGGUGGCGAGUGGCGGACGGGUGAGGAAUACAUCGGAAUCUACCUUUUCGUGGGGGAUAACGUAGGGAAACUUACGCUAAUACCGCAUACGACCUACGGGUGAAAGCAGGGGAUCUUCGGACCUCGCGCGAUUGAAUGAGCCGAUGUCGGAUUAGCUAGUUGGCGGGGUAAAGGCCCACCAAGGCGACGAUCCGUAGCUGGUCUGAGAGGAUGAUCAGCCACACUGGAACUGAGACACGGUCCAGACUCCUACGGGAGGCAGCAGUGGGGAAUAUUGGACAAUGGGCGCAAGCCUGAUCCAGCCAUACCGCGUGGGUGAAGAAGGCCUUCGGGUUGUAAAGCCCUUUUGUUGGGAAAGAAAAGCAGCAGGUUAAUACCCCGCUGUUCUGACGGUACCCAAAGAAUAAGCACCGGCUAACUUCGUG